CGAACGGGUGAGUAAUGCGUGACCAACCUGCCCCAUGCUCCAGAAUAGCUCUUGGAAACGGGUGGUAAUGCUGGAUGCUCCAACUUGACGCAUGUCUUGUUGGGAAAGUGUUUAGUGGCAUGGGAUGGGGUCGCGUCCUAUCAGCUUGUAGACGGGGUAAUGGCCCACCUAGGCUUCGACGGGUAGCCGGCCUGAGAGGGCGGACGGCCACAUUGGGACUGAGAUACGGCCCAGACUCCUACGGGAGGCAGCAGGU
Molecule: ribosomal RNA, 256 nt
Filed under: uncultured Gardnerella sp.
Lineage: Bacteria; Bacillati; Actinomycetota; Actinomycetes; Bifidobacteriales; Bifidobacteriaceae
Description: partial 16S ribosomal RNA
Rfam family: Bacterial small subunit ribosomal RNA
Source: RNAcentral